RNAcentral lists this ribosomal RNA (526 nucleotides) under uncultured eukaryote. RNAcentral describes it as "SSU rRNA". It matches the Rfam family "Eukaryotic small subunit ribosomal RNA", at positions 75 to 604 of the family's 1831-position model. The record is from RNAcentral.
UAUACAGCGAAACUGCGAAUGGCUCAUUAUAUAAGUUAUCGUUUAUUUGAUAGUGCCUUACUACUUGGAUAACCGUGGUAAUUCUAGAGCUAAUACAUGCUAAAAACCCCGACUUCGGAAGGGGUGUAUUUAUUAGAUACAAGACCAAUGCCCUUCGGGGCUCUUUGGUGAUUCAUGAUAACUAUACGAAUCGCACGGCCUUGCGCCGGCGAUGGUUCAUUCAAAUUUCUUCCCUAUCAACUUUCGAUGUUUGGGUAUUGGCCAAACAUGGUUGCAACGGGUAACGGAGGGUUAGGGCUCGACCCCGGAGAAGGAGCCUGAGAAACGGCUACUACAUCCAAGGAAGGCAGCAGGCGCGCAAAUUACCCAAUCCCGACUCGGGGAGGUAGUGACAAUAAAUACUGAUACAGGGCCCUUUCGGGCCUUGUAAUUGGAAUGAGUACAAUUUAAAUCCCUUAACGAGGAACAAUUGGAGGGCAAGUCUGGUGCCAGCAGCCGCGGUAAUUCCAGCUCCAAUAGCGUAUAU